GCGGGGAUAGCUCAGCUGGGAGAGCGUCAGACUGAAGCCAAACUUCAUCUGUUAUCUGAAGGUCGUGUGUUCGAUCCACACUCACCGCA
This 89-nucleotide transfer RNA is filed under the name Camillea tinctor. RNAcentral's name for it is "tRNA-Phe". It matches the Rfam family "tRNA". Rfam says of the family: Transfer RNA (tRNA) molecules are approximately 80 nucleotides in length. Lineage: Eukaryota; Fungi; Ascomycota; Sordariomycetes; Xylariales; Graphostromataceae. The record is from RNAcentral.